AGCAGCCGCGGUAAUUCCAGCUCCAAUAGCGUAUAUUAAAGUUGUUGCAGUUAAAAAGCUCGUAGUUGAAUUUCGGGGUCAGCAGGUUGGUCGUGCCAAUGGUAUGCACUGGCCUUGCUGAUUCCUCCCUCUUGAUGAGCCGUAAUGCCAUUAAUUUGGUGUUGCGGGGAAUCAGGACUGUUACUUUGAAAAAAUUAGAGUGUUUAAAGCAGGCAAGCGCUUGAAUACAUUAGCAUGGAAUAAUGAAAUAGGACGUUCGAUCCUAUUUUGUUGGUUUCUAGGAUUGACGUAAUGAUUAAUAGGGAUAGUUGGGGGCAUUAGUAUUCAAUUGUCAGCGGUGAAAUUCUUGGAUUUAUUGAAGACUAACUACUGCGAAAGCAUUUGCCAAGGAUGUUUUCAUUAAUCAAGAACGAAAGUUAGGGGAUCGAAGACGAUCAGAUACCGUCGUAGUCUUAACCAUAAACUAUGCCGACUAGGGAUUCGGAUGAUGUUAAUUUUUUAAUGACUCU
This 509-nucleotide small RNA is filed under the name uncultured Glomus. Its description in RNAcentral is "SSU rRNA". It matches the Rfam family "Eukaryotic small subunit ribosomal RNA", at positions 569 to 1080 of the family's 1831-position model. Lineage: Eukaryota; Fungi; Glomeromycota; Glomeromycetes; Glomerales; Glomeraceae. The record is from RNAcentral.